UAAGACGAACCGUGCGAACGUUAUUCGGAAUCACUGGGCUUAAAGCGCGUGUAGGCGGAAACGUACGUCUGUCGCUGAAAUCCCCCGGCUCAACCGGGGAAGUGGCGCGGAUACGGCGUUUCUGGAGGGGCGUAGGGGGACCUGGAACUUCCGGUGGAGCGGUGAAAUGCGUUGAGAUCGGAAGGAACGCCCGUGGCGAAAGCGAGGUCCUGGACGCCUACUGACGCUGAGACGCGAAAGCUAGGGGAGCGAACGGGAUUAGAUACCCCGGUAGUCCUAGCCGUAAACGAUGGGCACUGGGUAGGGGGCUCGCCGAUGGGCCCCCUGCCGUAGCGAAAGCGUGAAGUGCCCCGCCUGGGGAGUAUGGUCGCAAGGCUG
RNAcentral lists this ribosomal RNA (378 nucleotides) under uncultured bacterium. RNAcentral describes it as "bacterial SSU rRNA". It matches the Rfam family "Bacterial small subunit ribosomal RNA", at positions 521 to 896 of the family's 1533-position model. The record is from RNAcentral.